CAGGAGGCCUGGGGAACAAUGAGUAAGGCAGAGAGGGAACAGAGGCUUGUAGGCCACUGUGCGGACUUUGGCGUUUAGUCUGAGCUGGGGACCCACUGGAGGAUUCUGAGCAGAGCAGUGACAUGAUUGCGCUUACAUUUUUAAGACUUACUCUGGCUGCUGUGUUGAGAACAGAUGACCAUGGGGCAUAGACAGAAGCAGAAAGGGACCAAGGAGGUAAAGAGAUGGAGCAGAGUCCAAUGAGAGGGGAGAAAAACCAAGAGAGUCCAACUGAAGAAAGUUUCAGGAAGGACGCAACUGUGCCAAAUGCUGAUGAGUCUAGAAAUGAGAUCAUACUGUUUUGCUCCAGAGGACACAUGUCAUGAAGCCAGCUUCUGAGAAUGCAACUGUUUUCUCCUACAUCUAACUUAUAUAUCACAACAUGUCUAUGGUUGGCUGGAGGAAACGGAGAGAAAAUUUACAUCUGGUGGAGCAUAAAGAAACCAGCUAGAGGACUGGCCUUGUCAUUAUCUAACUGUGUUGUGACGAACUGGCACUUCCUCAUCUCUAAAAGCAGGGCCCUGAACUAGAAGACCGCCACGUCACAUGAUGAAAAACACUCAAACUAACACUUCUUACCCUUGUGAGCAGCCCUACUAGCAGAUUUAAUGUGGGAGGAGGUUCACACUACGGGAUAAAAAUCAAGUUUUAGGAUUCCAUUUUAUCUAAGCUGACCACCACAAGGCAGAGGAUCAAGACUUAGCUAAAUACAGCCCUCAGGCAAGCUUCACUUCCCCAUCUGUGAAGGGAGAAUAAAUACACAUGUUAAGAUAAAUGAGAGAGCUGGUCAAGUGUUUCGAGCUCUUUGGCAGACAAGCCUGACUUUCCAAAAAAAGACAAACCACAACUUCGGAGCCAGUGCUAUUUCUUCUGUGCAUGGUGAGGUGACUUCCCCAGUUGUAAAGGAUUUAGAGCUGAAAUUCCAUAUUGUCUGGAGCUAUAAUUACAAGUCUCUUGCACUAAAACAGAGGUCAGCUGGCCUAAAGCAUGCUGAAAGAAGGUAAAUGUCUGGUCACAUUUCCAUGUGGUAUACUCCUUUCCUAACUUUUUGGCACAAAUUUCAUGUUGAUAGAACAUUCAUUCACUCCACAAAUAUCUGGCAAGUAGGUGCUGAGUGCUGUGUAUAGACGAGUGAACACAACACAGACCCUGCCCUCAUUCUGUGUAGAGGACAGCAGAGGAGUAGGCACAGGGCUCUCAGCUAGGGCAGUACCACCCUAUGUCUGGGGGGCAUUUCGGACAUUUGGGAGGUGCUGUCAAUUGCCAAAAUGAAUGGGGAAACUCUGCUAGCAUUUAAGGGUGGGAGCCGUGGUGCCACAAUGACCUGUAUGAGGAAAACCAGCUCCAGGCCCGCAUGACUAGUGAGUGUACUGCUAGACAUUCAUAAACAUGAAAAACUCUUUUGUGGGAAAACAGCCUGUUGCAUAGCAAGAGUGAUCCAUCUUGAAGUAAAACUGCCAUGAUGACCAAUGUUUGACGCCUACAAUUCAAGGUGGUCCAGUAGCACAGAUAAGCCCUCACAACCUCCCCGUGGUCAUGAGUUUCUAAAGGAAGUCAGGGAUGAUGAGCUUCCUGUGUCUUUACCCUAAAAGCUUGCUAUAUAAAGGAUACUUUCUGGAGGUUGGUUGUGAGAAUCCACCAUCUCUUGGCCUACCUAGACAUCGUUUCUGUUUCUAAGUCUCUAUUAAAUAUUUCUUUCUGAGAA
Molecule: long non-coding RNA, 1744 nt
Filed under: Homo sapiens (human)
Lineage: Eukaryota; Metazoa; Chordata; Mammalia; Primates; Hominidae
Description: long non-coding RNA NONHSAT184594.1
Source: RNAcentral